Long non-coding RNA from Daphnia carinata, 884 nucleotides. RefSeq lists it as uncharacterized. The transcript has 3 exons. The record is from RefSeq and is a predicted model, not a curated record. NCBI's taxonomy places the organism in Eukaryota, Metazoa, Arthropoda, Branchiopoda, Diplostraca, Daphniidae.
CACCAUGCUUCUUUUCAUACAUCUGUAAACCGAAGGGCGAUGAUUUCGAAAUAUGGCAGAUGUGGAUCGGUUAACUUAUUAUGAUUCUAUCUACCUUUGGUUAGCAAAAAGAGAACAGCUGACUAUCUGUCAAGCGUGCCGGUGUGAUUUGUCCGUGGCAGAAGCAGUCUAGAAAGUCAACGGAAUAUAGUGCCGUCUCAUCUAUAAUUUUAGAUGACAUCCUUUAUGUCACAUCAAUGAAAAUUCUAAUCCUUCUAAUAGAUUUACCCAACUGUGAGCAAGAGUCAACUUCGGGAUUGUAAGCCCUCAGCGAGCCAUAUUCAAGUUGUAGCACAAAGUUUGUACAGCCGUGAUUAUUCCAGAACACCUAUGCAGUAGUAAAUGCUUGGCAGGAAAAUGGUACGAUAAAAUCCCAUAAAUAUCAAUCUAAUGGAUAGAUUUUUCCAUCCAGGUUUUGCGGCAACUGCCAUAUAGCUUCUUAUUGCAUGAUGGAACAAGGAUUCUCCAUCGUCAUCAAGUAUGUUACACAUGGCGGAACGCUGCUGAAAGAAAGCAGGGACAUGGCGAACAGGACUUCGGAAAAUGUCUACCCCAAGGGUGAUGAUUACAUUUGUCUUCUCACCAUUAAUCAGCUGUAGGAUAAAACUUGAUGGUUUCCUGGGUAAAACUGUGCUGCUAAUGUAAUAUUACUGAUACUUGCUAAUUUGUCCAGCAGUCAUUUAGGAGGAUGAUGAAAUCAGGAGGUUAAGAAGAAGCAUAUGUCUAACGUUGAAUUUUUGAAUGGGUUUACCCAACAUUUUUUCAUUAGCUCAUAGAACAGCCAGCCAAUGACACACAAUUUAACUGUUUGAUAACUUUUUGGAAGGACAUUAUAUGACGGAGGA